Molecule: ribosomal RNA, 181 nt
Filed under: uncultured bacterium
Lineage: Bacteria
Description: partial 16S ribosomal RNA
Rfam family: Bacterial small subunit ribosomal RNA
Source: RNAcentral
AUGAAGCCGGAAUUGCUAGUAAUGGCAGGUCAGCAUACUGCCGUGAAUACGUUCCCGGGCCUUGUACACACCGCCCGUCACACCAUGAGAGUUGGGAGCGCCCGAAGCCGGUGAGGUAACCGAGAGGAGCCAGCCGUCGAAGGUGAGACCAAUGACUGGGGUGAAGUCGUAACAAGGUAGC